RNAcentral lists this ribosomal RNA (265 nucleotides) under uncultured bacterium. RNAcentral describes it as "partial 16S ribosomal RNA". It matches the Rfam family "Bacterial small subunit ribosomal RNA", at positions 89 to 353 of the family's 1533-position model. The record is from RNAcentral.
UGGCGACCGGCGCACGGGUGAGUAACACGUAUCCAACCUGCCGAUGACUCGGGGAUAGCCUUUCGAAAGAAAGAUUAAUGCCCGAUGGCAUAGUUCUUCCGCAUGGUGGAACUAUUAAAGAAUUUCGGUCAUCGAUGGGGAUGCGUUCCAUUAGGUUGUUGGCGGGGUAACGGCCCACCAAGCCUUCGAUGGAUAGGGGUUCUGAGAGGAAGGUCCCCCACAUUGGAACUGAGACGCGGUCCAAACUCCUACGGGAGGCAGCAUG